Molecule: ribosomal RNA, 499 nt
Filed under: uncultured bacterium
Lineage: Bacteria
Description: partial 16S ribosomal RNA
Rfam family: Bacterial small subunit ribosomal RNA
Source: RNAcentral
AUUGAACGCUGGCGGCAGGCCUAACACAUGCAAGUCGAGCGGAUGACGGGAGCUUGCUCCUGGAUUCAGCGGCGGACGGGUGAGUAAUGCCUAGGAAUCUGCCUGGUAGCGGGGGACAACGUUUCGAAAGGAACGCUAAUACCGCAUACGUCCUACGGGAGAAAGCAGGGGACGUUCGGGCCUUGCGCGAUCAGAUGAGCCUAGGUCGGAUUAGCUGAUUGGUGGGGUAAUGGCUCACCAAGGCGACGAUCCGGAACUGGUCUGAGAGGAUGAUCAGUCACACUGGAACUGAGACACGGUCCAGACUCCUACGGGAGGCAGCAGUGGGGAAUAUUGGACAAUGGGCGAAAGCCUGAUCCAGCCAUGCCGCGUGUGUGAAGAAGGUCUUCGGAUUGUAAAGCACUUUAAGUUGGGAGGAAGGGUUGUAGAUUAAUACUCUGCAAUUUUGACGUUACCGACAGAAUAAGCACCGGCUAACUCUGUGCCAGCCGCCGCAGAA